AGCGAACGCUGGCGGCAGGCUUAACACAUGCAAGUCGAGCGGGCACUUCGGUGUCAGCGGCAGACGGGUGAGUAACACGUGGGAACGUACCCUUUGGUUCGGAAUAACGCUGGGAAACUAGCGCUAAUACCGGAUACGCCCUUUUGGGGAAAGGCUUGCUGCCGCAGGAUCGGCGCGCGUCUGAUUAGCUAGUUGGUGGGGUAAUGGCCUACCAAGGCGACGAUCAGUAGCUGGUCUGAGAGGAUGAUCAGCCACACUGGGACUGAGACACGGCCCAGACUCCUACGGGAGGCAGCAGUUGGGAAUAUUGGACAAGGGGCGCAAGCCUGAUCCAGCCAUGCCGCGUGAGUGAUGAAGGCCUUAGGGUUGUAAAGCUCUUUUGUCCGGGACGAUAAUGACGGUACCGGAAGAAUAAGCCCCGGCUAACUUCGUG
Molecule: ribosomal RNA, 433 nt
Filed under: uncultured bacterium
Lineage: Bacteria
Description: partial 16S ribosomal RNA
Rfam family: Bacterial small subunit ribosomal RNA
Source: RNAcentral